CCCAGUGACUCUUUUAAACGGCCGCGGUAUCCUAACCGUGCAAAGGUAGCAUAAUCACUUGUCUCUUAAAUAGAGACUAGAAUGAAUGGCUAAAUGAGGACUAAUCUGUCUCUUACGGACCAGCCAAUGAAAUUAAUCUUUCAGUACAAAAGCUGAAAUAAAAACAUAAGACGAGAAGACCCUGUGGAGCUUCAAACCAAACCCACCCUGCAUGCUCCUUUGAUUUUUAGUUGGGGCGACUUCGGAGCACAAUAAAACCUCCAAAAUCUUAAUAUCUUCAAGAUUAACAAACCAAAAAUUUUAUUAGACCCAGCAAUGUUUAACAUUGUCUGACCACUGAACCAAGUUACCCCAGGGAUAACAGCGCCAUCCCCUCCUAGAGUCCAUAUCGACAAGGGGGUUUACGACCUCGAUGUUGGAUCAGGACACCCCAAUGGUGCAGCCGCCAUUAAAGGUUCGUUUGUUCAACGAUUAAUUAGUCC
RNAcentral lists this ribosomal RNA (482 nucleotides) under Zootoca vivipara (common lizard). Its description in RNAcentral is "partial 16S ribosomal RNA". It matches the Rfam family "Bacterial large subunit ribosomal RNA", at positions 1862 to 2596 of the family's 2925-position model. Lineage: Eukaryota; Metazoa; Chordata; Lepidosauria; Squamata; Lacertidae. The record is from RNAcentral.